Molecule: ribosomal RNA, 448 nt
Filed under: uncultured bacterium
Lineage: Bacteria
Description: bacterial SSU rRNA
Rfam family: Bacterial small subunit ribosomal RNA
Source: RNAcentral
CCAGACUCCUACGGGAGGCAGCAGUGGGGAAUAUUGGGCAAUGGGCGCAAGCCUGACCCAGCAACGCCGCGUGAAGGAAGAAGGCUUUCGGGUUGUAAACUUCUUUUCUCAGGGACGAAGAAAGUGACGGUACCUGAGGAAUAAGCCACGGCUAACUACGUGCCAGCAGCCGCGGUAAUACGUAGGGGGCAAGCGUUAUCCGGAUUUACUGGGUGUAAAGGGAGCGUAGACGGCUGAGCAAGUCAGAAGUGAAAGCCCGGGGCUCAACCCCGGGACUGCUUUUGAAACUGCGGAGCUGGAGUGCAGGAGAGGUAAGCGGAAUUCCUGGUGUAGCGGUGAAAUGCGUAGAUAUCAGGAGGAACACCAGUGGCGAAGGCGGCUUACUGGACUGUAACUGACGUUGAGGCUCGAAAGCGUGGGGAGCAAACAGGAUUAGAUACCCUAGUGC